ACCGCAGACCGCCUUAUCGUCCGUGUGAAUGCAUGGGAGGAAAGUCCGGACACCAAAGAGUAGCAUAGUGGGUAACGCCCAUCCGUUCGUUUCGGCGAAUGAGGACAAGUGCAACAGAAAGUAUGUACAGAUAAUGCUGUAGUGAAACCAGGUAAACUCUAUGCGGUGAAAUGUCAAGUAUAUCAACAGUUUCUAAGUAAUUAGAAUAAGGGCGACUCGUCCGAUGUUGAAGGGUAGGCAGCUUGAGCUAUAUAGUAAUGUAUAGUCUAGAUAAAUGAUAAGGCUCCGUUUAUCGGAGACAGAAUCCGGCUUAUAGGUCUGCUUUUUAU
Molecule: RNase P RNA, 329 nt
Filed under: Flavobacterium sp.
Lineage: Bacteria; Pseudomonadati; Bacteroidota; Flavobacteriia; Flavobacteriales; Flavobacteriaceae
Description: RNase P RNA component class A
Rfam family: Bacterial RNase P class A
About the family: Ribonuclease P (RNase P) is a ubiquitous endoribonuclease, found in archaea, bacteria and eukarya as well as chloroplasts and mitochondria. Its best characterised activity is the generation of mature 5'-ends of tRNAs by cleaving the 5'-leader elements of precursor-tRNAs.
Source: RNAcentral